CCUACGGGCGGCAGCAGUGAGGAAUAUUGGUCAAUGGGAGCAAUUCUGAACCAGCCAAGCCGCGUGCAGGAAGACGGCCCUAUGGGUUGUAAACCUCUUUUGGCGGGGAACAAAACCCGGGACGUGUCCCGGACUGCGUGUAUCCGAAGAAAAAGCAUCGGCGAAUUCCGUGCCAGCAGCCGCGGUAUUACGGAGGAUGCGAGGGUUAUCCGGAUUUAUUGGGUUUAAAGGGUGCGUAGGCGGUCCGUUAAGUCAGCGGUAAAAUUGCGGGGCUCAACCCCGUCGAGCCGUUGAAACUGGCAGCCUUGAGUUGGCGAGAAGUACGCGGAAUGCGCGGUGUAGCGGUGAAAUGCAUAGAUAUCGUGCAGAACUCCGAUCGCGAAGGCAGCGGACCGGCGCCAGACUGACGCUGAGGCACGAAAGCGUGGGGAUCGAACAGGAUUAGAUACCCGGGUAGUC
This 459-nucleotide ribosomal RNA is filed under the name uncultured bacterium. RNAcentral's name for it is "partial 16S ribosomal RNA". It matches the Rfam family "Bacterial small subunit ribosomal RNA", at positions 338 to 795 of the family's 1533-position model. The record is from RNAcentral.